RNAcentral lists this ribosomal RNA (253 nucleotides) under uncultured bacterium. RNAcentral describes it as "partial 16S ribosomal RNA". It matches the Rfam family "Bacterial small subunit ribosomal RNA", at positions 524 to 776 of the family's 1533-position model. The record is from RNAcentral.
UACGUAGGGGGCGAGCGUUAUCCGGAAUUAUUGGGCGUAAAGGGCUCGUAGGCGGUUUGUCGCGUCGGGAGUGAAAACACGGGGCUUAACCCCGUGCCUGCUUCCGAUACGGGCAGACUAGAGGUAUGCAGGGGAGAACGGAAUUCCUGGUGUAGCGGUGAAAUGCGCAGAUAUCAGGAGGAACACCGGUGGCGAAGGCGGUUCUCUGGGCAUGACCUGACGCUGAGGAGCGAAAGUGUGGGGAGCGAACAGG